GGGGUGUUAGCUCAGUUGGCAGAGCACUAGGUUCGCAAUCUAGAGAUCACGGGUUCGACUCCCGUACACUCCACCA
RNAcentral lists this transfer RNA (76 nucleotides) under Bacteroidota bacterium. Its description in RNAcentral is "Bacteroidetes bacterium (biofilm metagenome) tRNA-Ala". It matches the Rfam family "tRNA". Rfam says of the family: Transfer RNA (tRNA) molecules are approximately 80 nucleotides in length. Lineage: Bacteria; Pseudomonadati; Bacteroidota. The record is from RNAcentral.